Molecule: ribosomal RNA, 352 nt
Filed under: uncultured bacterium
Lineage: Bacteria
Description: bacterial SSU rRNA
Rfam family: Bacterial small subunit ribosomal RNA
Source: RNAcentral
GGUGGUGCAUGGUUGUCGUCAGCUCGUGUCGUGAGAUGUUGGGUUAAGUCCCGCAACGAGCGCAACCCUUAAGCUUAGUUGCCAGCAUUCAGUUGGGCACUCUAAGGUGACUGCCGGUGACAAACCGGAGGAAGGUGGAGAUGACGUCAAAUCAUCAUGCCCCUUAUGACCUGGGCUACACACGUGCUACAAUGGACGGUACAAACGGUUGCCAACCCGCGAGGGGGAGCUAAUCCGAUAAAACCGUUCUCAGUUCGGAUUGUAGGCUGCAACUCGCCUACAUGAAGCCGGAAUCGCUAGUAAUCGUGGAUCAGCAUGCCACGGUGAAUACGUUCCCGGGUCUUGUACACAC